RNAcentral lists this ribosomal RNA (357 nucleotides) under Nematoda environmental sample. RNAcentral describes it as "SSU rRNA". It matches the Rfam family "Eukaryotic small subunit ribosomal RNA", at positions 58 to 414 of the family's 1831-position model. The record is from RNAcentral. Lineage: Eukaryota; Metazoa; Nematoda.
UCUAAGCACAAGCCCUUGAAAGGUAAGGCCGCGAAAAGCUCAUUACAACAGCUAUUGUUUAUUGGAUCUUUACAUUCUUACACGGAUAACUGCGGUAAUUCUGGAGCUACUACGUGCAUUAAACGACGACCUUACGGAAGUCGUGCAUUUGUUAGACCAAACCAAUCGGUCUUCGGACCGUCAUUUGGUGAACUCUGAAUAACUUUGCUGAUCGCACAGUCUCGUACUGGCGACAAAUCCUACAAGUAUCUGCCUUAUCAACUUUCGAUGGUAGUUUAUACGACUACCAUGGUUGUAACGGGUAACGGAGAAUAAGGGUUCGACUCCGGAGAGGGAGCCUGAGAAACGGCUACCACA